GAUGAAGAACGCAGCGAAAUGCGAUACGUAAUGUGAAUUGCAGAAUUCAGUGAAUCAUCGAGUCUUUGAACGCACAUUGCGCCCCCUGGUAUUCCGGGGGGCAUGCCUGUCCGAGCGUCAUUUCUGCCCUCAAGCACGGCUUGUGUGUUGGGCCCCGUCCUCCGAUUCCGGGGGACGGGCCCGAAAGGCAGCGGCGGCACCGAGUCCGGUCCUCGAGCGUAUGGGGCUUUGUCACCCGCUCUGUAGGCCCGGCCGGCGCUUGCCGAUCAACCCAAAUUUUUAUCCAGGUUGACCUCGGAUCAGGUAGGGAUACCCGCUGAACUUAAGCAUAUCAAUAAGCGGAGGA
Molecule: unclassified non-coding RNA, 346 nt
Filed under: soil metagenome
Description: partial contains 5.8S ribosomal RNA, internal transcribed spacer 2, and large subunit ribosomal RNA
Rfam family: 5.8S ribosomal RNA (bases 1-120)
Source: RNAcentral